Molecule: ribosomal RNA, 253 nt
Filed under: uncultured bacterium
Lineage: Bacteria
Description: partial 16S ribosomal RNA
Rfam family: Bacterial small subunit ribosomal RNA
Source: RNAcentral
UACAGGGGGGGCAAGCGUUGUUCGGAAUUACUGGGCGUAAAGGGCUCGUAGGUGGCCAACUAAGUCAGACGUGAAAUCCCUCAGCUUAACUGGGGAACUGCGUCUGAUACUGGAUGGCUUGAGUUUGGGAGAGGGAUGCGGAAUUCCAGGUGUAGCGGUGAAAUGCGUAGAUAUCUGGAGGAACACCGGUGGCGAAGGCGGCAUCCUGGGCCUGGACUGACGCUGAGGCGCGAAAGCUGGGGGAGCGAACGGG